Molecule: non-coding RNA, 1236 nt
Organism: Zootermopsis nevadensis
Lineage: Eukaryota; Metazoa; Arthropoda; Insecta; Blattodea; Termopsidae
Source: RefSeq, a predicted model, not a curated record
UAAUUCACUGCAGUAAUGUUCCUAUUUUAUCAGUGAGUUCUCCUAGUCCAGUGCAGUACCCAUCAACACGAAGCUUGCCUGCAGUGGUUCAUGACACCACUUGUGAUGCAGGAGAUUAAAUGCUUGAGAAUUGCACUGAGAAAUGUUCAGAAUGAAAAACUUCAGCUCCAGACAAAACUUGCAAAGAAUCAGCUGGACAGUUUACAGCCGCUGAAGGAAAUAUUUCCCGUGAUGGUGACCCUAAAGUUGUUAACAUCAGCUCGCGAGUUCCAGGCACUCCAGCAUGGCUGGAUAGAUUGGCACCAGCAAAUUAUCUCAUUCAGGAGGUGACUAAAUUACAGGAUUUGCAAAAGAGAGUUGAGAACUGCAGUAUGACCUCUGAAACGUUGGUUAACAUCGACCAGACUACACAGCGCAACAACCCAGAAGACGGAAAUCUUCAUACUCACCGCUCUGAAAACUUCAAAUUCUACAAGAUUUGAGUGAAUUACCUGGAUUGAAAACAAUUUAAUAUCCCCAGAAAUAAACUUUGUCACAAUCCAUUGUCAUUUUCACUAGAGUGAAUUUGUAUUUGAAAAUCUCUGUAGAGGGGGCUGGUAGAUUAGACAUCAGUCAUAUCUGUCUAUGAAUUUUUCUGCUCACAGAUUGUUGCUUUCACUUCUGCCAAAGAUAAAAACUUUGAGAAUCGUAAGAAUACUAGGCUCCUAGCAUGAUUUGGAUCUCAUGUCAGACUGCAGGUAUUUGUGCUGACCAUGAUGCUCAUGAUCACCCUAUCAGUCAGAGUAUUGGAAUUUUCUGUAUGGUGUUUUCACCUCAGAAACAGAUUCUGCCCCUUGCAUAGUGCUUCGUGCUAAUUUCAUUGUGCUGUAGUUUCCGAUCCUGGCUGUCCUUUCGUGGAGUUGCUUUCAUAAAUUAUUCGAAGAUUUUUAGGUUAUGGAUAUGUUUGGUAGUGAUGAGUGAUAAACAGUGACCUGUGAUUUUGUCACUGUGAUCAGAAAAUCACGAUCACUGGAGUGGUUAAAGUGCUCACUAAACAGUGAUCACACUGAUUCUUAAUUUCUUAUGCAUCCUAGCGAGAACACGGUAGACUUAUUUUGACUGCUCAGAGAAAUUUAGAGUCAGAUCACAGUGAUUCUCAGUAAUUUCUUAUGCAUGCUAGUGAGAAAACGGGACACUACAGUAUUUUGACAGCUCAGUUCUACUGUCUGUAAAUAUUAAAUAAACGAUUUCUAUACA